RNAcentral lists this ribosomal RNA (1244 nucleotides) under metagenome. RNAcentral's name for it is "bacterial LSU rRNA". It matches the Rfam family "Bacterial large subunit ribosomal RNA", at positions 1564 to 2817 of the family's 2925-position model. The record is from RNAcentral.
UGAAUACGAGACGCUAAGGCGUCGAAGUAGUGUAUGUCAUACUUCCAAGAAAAGCUUGCACUGUCAUAGAUAAAAAACGCCUGUACCAUAACCGACACAGGUGGGUAGGUAGAGUAUACUAAGGGGCGCGAGAUAACUCUCUCUAAGGAACUCGGCAAAAUAACUCCGUAACUUCGGGAGAAGGAGUGCCUUAUUCGUAAGGUUGCAAUAACAAGAUCCAAGCAACUGUUUAUCAAAAACACAGGUCUCCGCUAAGUCGUAAGACGAUGUAUGGGGGCUGACGCCUGCCCAGUGCCAGAAGGUUAAAGAAGUUGGUUAGCAAUUGCGAAGCUGAUAACUGAAGCCCUGGUGAACGGCGGCCGUAACAAUAACGGUCCUAAGGUAGCGAAAUUCCUUGUCGGGUAAGUUCCGACCCGCACGAAGGGCGUAAUGAUUUGGAUACUGUCUCGGAGAGGGGCUCGGUGAAAUAGACUUGUCUGUGAAGAUGCGGACUACCUGCACCAGGACAGAAAGACCCUAUGAAGCUUUACUGUAACUUGAAAUUGAAAUUGGACUUUAUUCGCGCAGUAUAGGUGGGAGGCGUUGAUUAUAAUCUUGUGGGAUUAUUGGAGCCAUCAGUGAGAUACCACUCUUGUAAUGUUAGAUUUCUAACUUUGAAUCAUUAUCUGGUCAAAGAACAGUUUCAGGCGGGCAGUUUGACUGGGGCGGUCGCCUCCUAAACGGUAACGGAGGCGUACAAAGGUUUCCUCUGAACGGUUAGAAAUCGUAUCUAGAGUGUAAAGGCAUAAGGAAGCUUGACUGUGAGACCUACAAGUCGAGCAGGGACGAAAGUCGGUCUUAGUGAUCUGACGGUACUGAGUGGAAAGGCCGUCACUCAACGGAUAAAAGUUACUCUAAGGAUAACAGGCUGAUCUCCCCCAAGAGUUCACAUCGACGGGGAGGUUUGGCACCUCGAUGUCGGCUCAUCGCAUCCUGGGGCGGUAGUACGUCCCAAGGGUUGGGCUGUUCGCCCAUGAAAGCGGUACGCGAGCUGGGUUCAGAACGUCGUGAGACAGUUCGGUCCAUAUCCGGUGUAGGCGUUAGAAUAUUGAGAGGAGCCUUCUUUAGUACGAGAGGACCGAGAAGGACAUACCUCUGGUGUACCAGUUAUCGUGCCAACGGUAAACGCUGGGUAGCUAUGUAUGGAGUGGAUAACCGCUGAAAGCAUCUAAGUGGGAAGCCCACCUCAAGAUAAGUAUUCUCAC